AACGCUGGCGGCAGGCCUAACACAUGCAAGUCGAGCGGCAGCGGGGAGUAGCUUGCUACUCUGCCGGCGAGCGGCGGACGGGUGAGUAAAGUCUGGGGAUCUGGCUUAUGGAGGGGGAUAACCAUUGGAAACGGUGGCUAAUACCGCAUGAUGUCGCAAGACCAAAGUGGGGGACCUUAGGGCCUCACGCCAUGAGAUGAACCCAGAUGAGAUUAGCUAGUAGGUGCGGUAAUGGCGUACCUAGGCGACGAUCUCUAGCUGGUCUGAGAGGAUGACCAGCCACACUGGAACUGAGAGACGGUCCAGACUCCUACGGGAGGCAGCAGUGGGGAAUAUUGCACAAUGGGCGGAAGCCUGAUGCAGCCAUGCCGCGUGUGUGAAGAAGGCCUUAGGGUUGUAAAGCACUUUCAGCGGGGAGGAAGGCGGUAAGAGUAAUAUGCUUAUCGAUUGACGUUACCCGCAAAAGAAGCACCGGCUAACUCCGUGCCAGCAGCCGCGGUAAUACGGAGGGUGCGAGCGUUAAUCGGAAUAACUGGGCGUAAAGGGCAUGUAGGCGGUAAGUUAAGUCAGAUGUGAAAUCCCCGAGCUUAACUUGGGAACGGCAUUUGAGACUGGCUGGCUAGAGUUUUGUAGAGGGGGGUAGAAUUCCAGGUGUAGCGGUGAAAUGCGUAGAGAUCUGGAGGAAUACCGGUGGCGAAGGCGGCCCCCUGGACAAGGACUGACGCUGAGGUGCGAAAGCGUGGGUAGCAAACAGGAUUAGAUACCCUGGUAGUCCACGCUGUAAACGAUGUCGAUUUGGAGGUUGUGACCUAGUGUUAUGGCGUCCGAAGCUAACGCGAUAAAUCGACCGCCUGGGGAGUACGGCCGCAAGGUUAAAACUCAAAUGAAUUGACGGGGGCCCGCACAAGCGGUGGAGCAUGUGGUUUAAUUCGAUGCAACGCGAAGAACCUUACCUACUCUUGACAUCCACGGAAUUUGGCAGAGAUGCUUAAGUGCCUUCGGGAGCCGUGAGACAGGUGCUGCAUGGCUGUCGUCAGCUCGUGUUGUGAAAUGUUGGGUUAAGUCCCGCAACGAGCGCAACCCUUGUCCUUUGUUGCCAGCGCGUAAUGGUGGGAACUCAAAGGAGACUGCCGGUGAUAAACCGGAGGAAGGUGGGGAUGACGUCAAGUCAUCAUGGCCCUUACGAGUAGGGCUACACACGUGCUACAAUGGCGCAUACAAAGAGCGGCGAGCGUGCGAACGUAAGCGAACCUCAUAUAAAGUGCGUCGUAGUCCGGAUUGGAGUCUGCAACUCGACUCCAUGAAGUCGGAAUCGCUAGUAAUCGUGGAUCAGAAUGCCACGGUGAAUACGUUCCCGGGCCUUGUACACACCGCCCGUCACACCAUGGGAGUGGGCGGCAAAAGAAGUAGGUAGC
This 1415-nucleotide ribosomal RNA is filed under the name Candidatus Regiella insecticola. Its description in RNAcentral is "16S ribosomal RNA". It matches the Rfam family "Bacterial small subunit ribosomal RNA". The record is from RNAcentral. Lineage: Bacteria; Pseudomonadati; Pseudomonadota; Gammaproteobacteria; Enterobacterales; Enterobacteriaceae.